GCUGGGCAUGGUGGUGCAUGCCUGUAAUCCCAGUGGCUCAGGAGGCUAAGACAGGAGGAUCAUGAGUUCAAGCCAGCCUCACAGCUUAGCAAGGACCUAAGCAACCUAAGUGAGACCCUGUCUCUA
This 126-nucleotide small RNA is filed under the name Marmota monax (woodchuck). The record is from RNAcentral. Lineage: Eukaryota; Metazoa; Chordata; Mammalia; Rodentia; Sciuridae.